Molecule: ribosomal RNA, 425 nt
Filed under: uncultured bacterium
Lineage: Bacteria
Description: partial 16S ribosomal RNA
Rfam family: Bacterial small subunit ribosomal RNA
Source: RNAcentral
GUGGGGAAUAUUGGACAAUGGGGGCAACCCUGAUCCAGCCAUGCCGCGUGAGUGAUGAAGGCCUUCGGGUUGUAAAGCUCUUUUGGCGGGGACGAUGAUGACGGUACCCGCAGAAUAAGCCCCGGCUAACUUCGUGCCAGCAGCCGCGGUAAGACGAAGGGGGCUAGCGUUGUUCGGAAUUACUGGGCGUAAAGCGAGUGUAGGUGGUUGUCAUAGUCAGGUGUGAAAGCCUUGAGCUCAACUCAAGAAAUGCACUUGAUACUGGGCGACUAGAGGACCGGAGAGGAUAGUGGAAUUCCCAGUGUAGUGGUGAAAUACGUAGAGAUUGGGAAGAACACCAGUGGCGAAGGCGGCUAUCUGGACGGUUACUGACACUAAGACUCGAAAGCGUGGGGAGCAAACAGGAUUAGAAACCCUGGUAGUCC